CUUUCCUGGUCUUCUCCUUGUGGAGCUUGGAUGACCUGGAUUCCUUGCUGCUGCUUUUGGCUACCUGCGCCUUCCCAUAGUCAUCAGUCUCCUCAUUCGAACGCUUUGAACUUCCCGAUAUCCGGUCCUUCAUCGAUCCCGACUUGCUGGAGACUUCUUGGCUUUUUUCUUUUUCGGUCUGUUUAGCUUUUAGUAAGUCCCGGGAACGCCUGUGCUGGUGGUGACGAUGUUUGUGCAGGCGGUCGCUCCGAUCUGAUCCACGACGUUCGU
Molecule: long non-coding RNA, 270 nt
Filed under: Homo sapiens (human)
Lineage: Eukaryota; Metazoa; Chordata; Mammalia; Primates; Hominidae
Description: non-protein coding lnc-MED1-4:2
Source: RNAcentral